Molecule: ribosomal RNA, 253 nt
Filed under: uncultured bacterium
Lineage: Bacteria
Description: partial 16S ribosomal RNA
Rfam family: Bacterial small subunit ribosomal RNA
Source: RNAcentral
UACGUAGGGAGCAAGCGUUGUUCGGAUUUACUGGGCGUAAAGGGCGCGUAGGCGGCAGAUCAAGUCAGUUGUGAAAUCUCUGAGCUUAACUCAGAACUGUCAACUGAUACUGCUCUGCUAGAGUGCGGAAGGGGCAAUCGGAAUUCUUGGUGUAGCGGUGAAAUGCGUAGAUAUCAAGAGGAACACCUGAGGUGAAGACGGGUUGCUGGGCCGACACUGACGCUGAGGAGCGAAAGCCAGGGGAGCAAACGGG